UUGCGGUUAAAAAGCUCGUAGUUGGAUUUCUGUUGAAGACGGCCGGUCCGCACUUUGUGCGUGUAUCUGGUUCGGCCUCGGCAUCCUCUUGGGGAACGUAUCUGCAAUUGAUUUCGUGGUGCGGUGCUCAAGACUUUUACUUUGAGGAAAUUAGAGUGUUCACGGCAGGCAAUCGCCUUGAAUAUAUUAGCAUGGAAUAAUAAUAUAGGCAUGAGUUCCUAUUUUGUUGGUUUCUAGGAAUUCAUGAAUGAUAAAUAGGGACACUUGGGGGCAUUCGUAUUACGACGUCAGAGGUGGAAUUCUUAGAUUGUCGUACGACGAACUACUGCGAAAGCAUUUGCCAAGGAUGUUUUCAUUGAUCAAGAACGAAAGUCGAGGGAUCGAAGAUGAUUAGAUACCGUCGUAGUCUCGACUAUAAACUAUGCCACCUAGAGAUUGGAGGUCGUUUUUUUAAUGACUCCUUCAGCACCUUAUGAGAAAUCAAAGUUUUUGGGUUUCGGGGGGAGUAUGGUCGCAAGGCUGAAACUUAAAGGAAUUGACGGAAGGGCACCACCAGGAGUGGAGCCUGCGGCUUAAUUUGACUCAACACGGGAA
RNAcentral lists this ribosomal RNA (594 nucleotides) under uncultured marine eukaryote. Its description in RNAcentral is "SSU rRNA". It matches the Rfam family "Eukaryotic small subunit ribosomal RNA", at positions 613 to 1211 of the family's 1831-position model. The record is from RNAcentral.